UGGGGAAUAUUGUGCAAUGGGGGGAACCCUGACGCAGCCAUGCCGCGUGAAUGAAGAAGGCCUUCGGGUUGUAAAGUUCUUUCGGUAUUGAGGAAGGUUGAUGUGUUAAUAGUACAUCAAAUUGACGUUAAAUACAGAAGAAGCACCGGCUAACUCCGUGCCAGCAGCCGCGGUAAUACGGAGGGUGCGAGCGUUAAUCGGAAUAACUGGGCGUAAAGGGCACGCAGGCGGUUAUUUAAGUGAGGUGUGAAAGCCCCGGGCUUAACCUGGGAAUUGCAUUUCAGACUGGGUAACUAGAGUACUUUAGGGAGGGGUAGAAUUCCACGUGUAGCGGUGAAAUGCGUAGAGAUGUGGAGGAAUACCGAAGGCGAAGGCAGCCCCUUGGGAAUGUACUGACGCUCAUGUGCGAAAGCGUGGGGAGCAAACAGGAUUAGAUACCCUGGUAGUCCACGCUGUAAACGCUGUCGAUUUGGGGGUUGGGGUUUAACUCUGGCGCCCGUAGCUAACGUGAUAAAUCGACCGCCUGGGGAGUACGGCCGCAAGGUUA
This 547-nucleotide ribosomal RNA is filed under the name uncultured bacterium. RNAcentral describes it as "bacterial SSU rRNA". It matches the Rfam family "Bacterial small subunit ribosomal RNA", at positions 355 to 896 of the family's 1533-position model. The record is from RNAcentral.